RNAcentral lists this ribosomal RNA (446 nucleotides) under uncultured bacterium. RNAcentral's name for it is "bacterial SSU rRNA". It matches the Rfam family "Bacterial small subunit ribosomal RNA", at positions 355 to 825 of the family's 1533-position model. The record is from RNAcentral.
UGGGGAAUAUUGAACAAUGGGCGAAAGCCUGAUCCAGCCAUGCCGCGUGAGUGACGAAGGCCUUAGGGUUGUAAAACUCUUUCGUCGGGGACGAUAAUGACGGUACCCGAAGAAGAAGCUCCGGCUAACUUCGUGCCAGCAGCCGCGGUAAUACGAAGGGAGCUAGCGUUGUUCGGAAUCACUGGGCGUAAAGCGCACGUAGGCGGAUAGUUAAGUCAGGGGUGAAAUCCUGGGGCUCAACCCCAGAACUGCCUUUGAUACUGGCUGUCUCGAGGUCGAGAGAGGUUGGUGGAAUUCCUAGUGUAGAGGUGAAAUUCGUAGAUAUUAGGAAGAACACCAGUGGCGAAGGCGGCCAACUGGCUCGAUACUGACGCUGAGGUGCGAAAGCGUGGGGAGCAAACAGGAUUAGAUACCCACGUAGUCCUGAGCGGGCUGGCAAGGCGCAU